AGCGUUUCCAGCAGCUACACACACCAAACCAGCAUCACGUGAUAGCGAUGGGCGCUUGCCCACUGGGAAGUCAGGAGGUCGAUGAGAAAAAUUAUUUUAGCCUGUGCUGCGCCUUCAUGUUUGGAACUUCUAUCCAAAACAAUGCAGAGUUCUCAUGCCCGCUCCCUCCUCUGGGAUGGUGGGGGGGGCUCUACACAGGCUUGAGACUGCAAUCCCCCCUCCCCUAUGGCCUGCAGGUCACACUGCUACUAAAGGCAGGGAGGGACAGGGACAGGGAGAGGACACUUCUAGUUAUGACACACACCAGCCUGCGGUAAGCUAGAUGGGUUUUCAGGGAAGGAAGCAGAAUACUCCCGAUGGAUAGAGAAAUCAGGAGAUUCAUUCCCUCCAUUCCCCACGAGGGAACGCUGAGGAAGAAGAGAGAACAGACAUGGGAGACCACAGAGAGGGAUGAAUGAGAAGAUGCAAGCUGAGAGGGAGGAAAGGGAAAGGGGGCGAGCUGCCAGUGAAGGCACGGGCUUAUAUUCCCCUAACAGAGCCCUCGGAGCAGCCUACAGCCGCACUUGCACGCGCUGUGUUAGGAUGUGUCCUUCCAGCAUUCCCAAUGCCGGGGCUCCAGACAUGUAGAGUGGAGGUGGUGUGAACCACAGACAGAUUUCCGCGGGCUCCAGAGAGACGCUCACUUACUGAAGUGAGCUGAAGUGCGUGUAGUGGCUCCCCCAGAAGGCCACCAAGAGCUCUAGAAACCCGGAGCUGUCACGGGUCUGUGCUGCAACUGCAUUUGACUGCCUUACACACCACGGCCUUCAGCCACAAGUCCAAUGCCGACCGUGGCAGGGGUCCUAAUUCCUAAAACACAUCAAGGUCAAGGUGCCGAAUAAUAAGCUUUUUGGGCAGUCCCGUGUACACUCACGUCAGGCCAGUGGAUCAGAACUUUCGGAGCCCGAGGUCACCAGCUACGAAGAGGCCAGUGUGUCAGGACACAGGGUGAAGAUGCUAAUGGCCACCUUGGUGUGUCUGAAGGCCCAGAGGCCCUGCAUCGGGCAUCCAAGCAGAAGGCAGGAGGCUGUCUGAUGCUUAGUGCUCCUCUCAGGCACCUCCCACUCCAUCUCCCGAAUUCCUCCCAACUUAUGCAAAAUACAGCUGCGUCAGGUACUUUCUCCUGCUACCAUGAGACACUCUGAUCAGAACACGACUUGGAAAGGGAAGGGUUUGUUUCACCUUUGCGUUUCCGGGUCAUAGCUCAUCACUGAGGCAAGUCAGGGCAGGAACCUUGGAGGAGCACUAUUUACUGACUCUGUCACCUUCCAUCCUCAGCAACAUUUCUCACACAGCCCAGGCUCACCGGCCUAGGGAUGGUGCCACUCACCAUUGGCUCCGCCCUCGCACGUCAACCGUCAACAAAGACACAGACACAGCCGCCGGCCAGUUGACAGUGAAUACUGACCAGCCAAGCAGAAGAUAUUAUAAGCCACAUUGCCUCUAUCUGCAGGUGGCACUAUAAACUACAUUGUCUCUAGAUAUCCAAAAGCAUGCCAGUUGGGGAUGCCACAAAAGUCUUCGUAAUGCAAAGAGCGGCAGGCAGGGUGGGGCCGUCUCUGGUACAUAGAGUCUGGGAUUAUGACAGAAUAUUUGCCAUGGGAGAGCCAAUAAAGAUGAAGUUGAGAUGCCCCCAGGCAGGCUUGCCACCCAACAGUUUCUGGCCCCGCAGCCAGGGACACCAAGCGCCCUAGCAGAGUCCCCUUCCAAAAGGCCACAUUUGAAACUCAGUAAAUCAGCUCAAUAUGUUUUCGGACUGUGGGUAUUAAAUAAAAGAGGCCAGUGAAA
Mesocricetus auratus (golden hamster) is the source of this 1827-nucleotide long non-coding RNA. RefSeq lists it as uncharacterized. NCBI's taxonomy places the organism in Eukaryota, Metazoa, Chordata, Mammalia, Rodentia, Cricetidae. The transcript is spliced from 2 exons. The record is from RefSeq and is a predicted model, not a curated record.